This 655-nucleotide ribosomal RNA is filed under the name uncultured forest soil bacterium. RNAcentral describes it as "bacterial SSU rRNA". It matches the Rfam family "Bacterial small subunit ribosomal RNA", at positions 64 to 767 of the family's 1533-position model. The record is from RNAcentral.
GAGCGCCCCGCAAGGGGAGCGGCAGACGGGAGAGUAACACGUGGGAACGUACCCUUCAGUUCGGAACAACCCAGGGAAACUUGGGCUAAUACCGAAUACGUCCGUAAGGAGAAAGAUUUAUCGCCGGGGGAUUGGCCCGCGUCUGAUUAGCUUGUUGGUGAGGUAAUGGCUCACCAAGGCGACGAUCAGUAGCUGGUCUGAGAGGAUGAUCAGCCACAUUGGGACUGAGACACGGCCCAAACUCCUACGGGAGGCAGCAGUGGGGAAUAUUGGACAAUGGGCGAAAGCCUGAUCCAGCCAUGCCGCGUGAGUGAUGAAGGCCUUAGGGUUGUAAAGCUCUUUUACCCGGGAAGAUAAUGACGGUACCGGGAGAAUAAGCCCCGGCUAACUUCGUGCCAGCAGCCGCGGUAAUACGAAGGGGGCUAGCGUUGUUCGGAAUUACUGGGCGUAAAGCGCACGUAGGCGGAUCCUUAAGUCAGGGGUGAAAUCCCGAGGCUCAACCUCGGAACUGCCUUUGAUACUGGGGAUAUCGAGUCCGGGAGAGGUGAGUGGAACUGCGAGUGUAGAGGUGAAAUUCGUAGAUAUUCGCAAGAACACCAGUGGCGAAGGCGGCUCACUGGCCCGGUACUGACGCUGAGGUGCGAAAGCGUGGGGA